Molecule: ribosomal RNA, 467 nt
Filed under: Prevotella sp. oral taxon 298
Lineage: Bacteria; Pseudomonadati; Bacteroidota; Bacteroidia; Bacteroidales; Prevotellaceae
Description: bacterial SSU rRNA
Rfam family: Bacterial small subunit ribosomal RNA
Source: RNAcentral
UACAGGCUUAACACAUGCAAGUCGAGGGGAAACGGCAUUAAGUGCUUGCACUUUUUGGACGUCGACCGGCGCACGGGUGAGUAACGCGUAUCCAACCUUCCCAUGACUAAGGGAUAACCUGCCGAAAGCAGAUAAUCCUUAUGGUCUUCACUGACGGCAUCAGAUGUGAAGUAAAGAUUUAUCGGUUAUGGAUGGGGAUGCGUCUGAUUAGCUUGUUGGCGGGGUAACGGCCCACCAAGGCAACGAUCAGUAGGGGUUCUGAGAGGAAGGUCCCCCACAUUGGAACUGAGACACGGUCCAAACUCCUACGGGAGGCAGCAGUGAGGAAUAUUGGUCAAUGGGCGAGAGCCUGAACCAGCCAAGUAGCGUGCAGGAUGACGGCCCUAUGGGUUGUAAACUGCUUUUGUAUGGGGAUAAAGUCAGUCACGUGUGAUUGUUUGCAGGUACCAUACGAAUAAGGCCGGCUA